Non-coding RNA from Paramuricea clavata, 547 nucleotides. NCBI's taxonomy places the organism in Eukaryota, Metazoa, Cnidaria, Anthozoa, Malacalcyonacea, Plexauridae. The record is from the annotation of a GenBank genome assembly.
AGAAUUGGAUCGUAAAGGUGGUUGCAGGUAUUCAGAUACUGGAAUGCUGUGAAAUGGCCCUGUUGACCUGUUGGGACAUUCUACUGGGGGAACAUCAAAUGGUGUGUGGAGGGAGAUGAAAUGAAAUGAAGUUUCGAUUCGGUGUGACUGAUAGUAUUGCCUAUUGGAGUGGUGUGGAUAAUGAUGAUUCUAGUAAAUUAUGUUAUGAUGAUGCAUGGACUGUGAUGAUGUUGGUGAAGCUUGAUUUUUAAUAUAGAUAUAUAGUGAUGAAACUGCUGAUACUGUAUACAGUAUAAGUUGUAAAAUGGUACCGUAUAUACAGUGAUACAAAGAGUAUACAAAAAGUAGAGUUGAUAAUUGGUUAAAGAAGGUUAAUUUUAGGUGUUUAAUUAACUUGAUUCCAUAUACACCAAAAUGACAAUGGUAUCCAACAAGCUGUAUCUUGUAAAUAGGGCUAAACAUUUCAUUGUAAUUAAAACAGUCAGAGAAUGAAUUACAGUCACAGUAUUGCACAAGUUUGAAACUUGACCUACAAACUAAUCAACUG